Long non-coding RNA from Pygocentrus nattereri (red-bellied piranha), 669 nucleotides. RefSeq lists it as uncharacterized. NCBI's taxonomy places the organism in Eukaryota, Metazoa, Chordata, Actinopteri, Characiformes, Serrasalmidae. The record is from RefSeq and is a predicted model, not a curated record. The transcript has 2 exons.
CCACGCCUCAGAGCUCAACGACUGUUCACCUACACCCACACUGCUUAAAGACGGCAGAAGUUUAAACUGCCGCUGCUUGUUUCACCAUGUCUGAAGAGAUACAGCGCCACAGAUCUAUCAUUCCUAAAGCUGAAUCUAAGUUGUCUGAUGGACUGAAUUUCAGCCUGUGACCACCAGAGGAAUGUGUUCAUGUUCAGGUUCAGGUAAGCCUCCAGGUCCAUUUGGAGCCACAGGUAUGGAGACUGUGUGACUGCAAUUAUGAUGCCAGAGGUCGGUGGUGAUAUGCAAUAUGUUUAACUGUCUCUUUUUUUUCUGUUCCCUCAUUUUUUCACCAUAUUAGGCAUAUGGAGAUCCGUCCAGCAGGCCUCUAAUGUGGAUGGGAUGGCCGAUACUCUGACGUGGAGCCUCAGCAGAACCCUUGACUAACGGUUUCACAGGUGGUAUGAUGUGAAACCCAUGAAGAGAUCAGCAGUUUUCUUGAGAUGGUUCAUCACUGUUCUCGCUUCCUCGCUGUUAUCUUGAGAUAAUAUUGAGCUUGUCUGUGUUUAGUAAAUCUUUUAAGAGUCUCUGGAAACAUUCAGCAAUAAACUGUGGAUCAUUAUCAGAUAUAAACUCAGAUGGUACAUCUGUAAGCUGGGCUAUCUCAAUCUCAAUAAAACCAGCACUUAA